GUGUUGGGAAAGACAUUUGACCAGGGUGGGCUCUGGUUCACGUUCCACCUCCUUGCCUUAGGCUCUGGGAGCUGAGAGGGAGCACCAUAGCUGGAGUCUGAGGGUGGCUGGCCCUCACUACAAACAGCUGAGUGAAGGAGGAAGGAAGAGAGAUUGAACGAGUAGCUCGGGCCCCAGAGGAAGUUGAAAGCCAGGCCACGGAGUGACAGUUCUUGGGGGCCCUACUGCAGCUCCCUUCCUGUCCCCCCGGCUGCUGUCAGUGGGGAGCACACAGGUCCUGGGAAAGCAAACUGGCUCAGAGAGGCUGAAUAGCCUGCUUGAGAUGACACAGCUUGCGGGUGGCUGAGUUGGCCUUCCCACCCAGAUUUCCGUCAUGAGGUUCCUCCAGCCGACAGGGGCCUCGGUGAGGAACUUGUCACAGCUCCGUCAGCCCGGCCCCCUUCCUCCUCUCUGGCCCCACAGGCUGGGCACAACAACAGUCACCUGGUGAUCUCGGGCUGCCUUCAGUGAGUCACCCUGCCCACAGCGAGCCUGGCUGGACGAUGUUAUCAGCUCCCCGCUUACUUAAUUCCUCGGCUGACAUCACCACCGCCUCCGUCUUCUCCUUCUCGGCACUGUAGCCUGCAGCCUGGCGUAUCCUGGAAGGGAAGGCGGUGGAGGUCUCUUGCCAGAAACUAGCAGGGCAGGUAAAUUGGGACCUUCAGUUCCUUGGCCUUUAGCCCCAAGGGGUGUGGCCUGGCUUCUUGCUUUGCACGAAGGGGCCUCAGUUUACCUCCCAGGAGGUGCUCUUUGCUGUGAAGUCCUGGGAAGCACAUGACGGCCCCGCUCCAUGCUCAUCUCCUCUCUCCUUGUGCAGAGGGGGUCCUGUCAGACAGAGGCCUUCAUGGAGGCCAAGCUGCUUGCCCUGCUAUGUGUCCAAGUGUAUCCUGGUGUCGUACCCCCAAGUCCCGCCUCAGUUCUGUCUAGCAUGGGCCCCUGCCUCUGAGCUUCUAUGAUAGGCUCAGAUGGGGCAGCCUUGCUGGCCUUCUGCCCACCUCUGUUACUGGGCCACCAUGCCCUGGAACUCAGCCCCUCGCCUCCUGGGAGCCCAGGCCAGCCCUUCCCCAUCACAGCCUAGCAUUCCCUCUUGCCUCCCUUCACCUUGACCCCUCCCAGUGCCAACCUGCAGUCCCAGUGGCACAUGGGUAGGGUCAGUAGAGCAGUGACAGAAGUGACCAGAGACGCAUGUGUUUCCAUUUCAGCCAGGUCUCUGCCUCUGCAUCCCAGUAGGAUGAGGGAGGGAAUUCGUUCCUCUCCCUGAACUGUCCUACUCUACCCCUUCCCCACCAUUGGAGCCGGACAGCAGAGCCGGGAGGCUGAGAGAGCCCAGGGAGGGGCUGAGCACAGACCUCCUGGGCUGGACCUCCAUCUGUGAUGGGAAGCUGCCCAAGCCUGGCAUUCGAGGGAGGCAGUGAGGGGAAGUGGGUGGGGCUGGGCAGGGACAAGGGGCAACCCUCGGAGCUGCCAGACAGCUUCCUCUAUGACCCUCAGGGGACACUUCCUCCAGUGGCACUGCCAGAGUCUGGGGAAAGAGUUGUCUAAACACCAGUCACCUUUACUCUAGUUAUUUGACCAAAACAAAUUGUUCCUUAGAAGGAAAAAGAAAAAAACUGAAACCCCAAAACCCCAACAUUGAUGUCAUGCUGAUCACCCUGUGAGCUGAGUCCUGGUACAGAGAGCACCCCUGGGGAGGGCGGGUACCCCCCUCAUUCUUCCCAUGGGAAGGGGAUCAGAGGUUGGCCCCGCCACUCUGCACAUAGACGCUGCUGCUGCCUCCACAUGCUGGAAUGCUGUAGAAUGCUGUUCUAACCUUCUGGAGUGGGGGGCUCCAGAGAGAGGUCAGAGCAACCCUGGGCUCGUCCCCAAACACACCACUCUCAGCGGACAGAUGUUUCUUCGCCUGUUGAGUAGAGGAGCUAUUGAGAUAUUAAGUGUGAAAGUGUACUGAGAGGCUGGGGCCCUGUAGAGAAGGGAAAGGGGAGAGGGAAAAUUGCAGAAAAGAGACCCCACCUCAAUGAUUUAAGGUCUGUGGACAACAUCUGGCCUCAGCUCUGUUAGGCUCCCUUUAAGUCCUGAGUUGAGUUCUUAUUAAUGCUUCUAGUGAAGUGCACACCUUGACAGUGAUUGGCACCUCUGCUGCACUUGGCUUGUAGUCUGCUCAGACCCUUGGCUCCUGGAAUAAAACCUAACCAGAAUUAA
This is a non-coding RNA of Callithrix jacchus (white-tufted-ear marmoset), 2238 nucleotides long. The record is from RefSeq and is a predicted model, not a curated record. NCBI's taxonomy places the organism in Eukaryota, Metazoa, Chordata, Mammalia, Primates, Cebidae.